RNAcentral lists this long non-coding RNA (761 nucleotides) under Toxoplasma gondii VEG. Lineage: Eukaryota; Apicomplexa; Conoidasida; Eucoccidiorida; Sarcocystidae. The record is from RNAcentral.
GCUGUCGAUUGUUGUACCUCGACUAGUGUCUGGUAGCUGCUCGUGUCCAACUCGUCAUCCUUAUGCGGUCCUGGUUGGAAUUAUCUGUUGCGACGUACAAGAGGACUUAAAAUAUCAUCUUGCUACCGUCGGAAUGAGCUGAGAAGUGUGCAGCCACUCUCUGCCGAACAACUCACUGUAGAACCUGCACAUGGGAUGAACAAUCAGUGGUAGGCCACACUUCUCGACAAGAGGCAUUGAGAGUCUGCCUUCUUGAAAUGCUUGAGGUGUAAGGCCCACCAGCCAGGUUCCGUUUCCCGAUUAGACACGUGUUUGAUACCAAGGUAUUCACUGUUUCGGCUGAGGUAACAGCGGCCGCACUGUUGACGGCGCUGCGAUAGACAUUCAUCUACCCCGCGGCUUUGCAACUAUUGCUGUGGUUAGUCUGUGGAUCUGUACACUAAGAUCGCAUGUGUUGCCUCGAGCGAAUAGGUCCGGUACGGACACCAUCGACUCGGCAAGUUGUCUACGUUUCCUUGUGACGAGCGUAAUCUUCCGAAUGAGAGAUAUGGGAUGCCAUGCGUAGUGGCCGAUCUGACUCUAGGAUAUAGGCAAUAUGAGACAUCCGUGCUCAAGUGCAUUCCACAGCAUCUAGAAUCGAUUGUAUUCGCAGAUGUCUCGGAUGUUAUGGUCGGCUAGUGAAGUGACACAGAGCCGGUGGUGCCAACGCGGGAUCGUGUCAACAUUUCGCAACCACUAAGCUUCAAAAUGUUCUGGGGACG